This 504-nucleotide ribosomal RNA is filed under the name uncultured Chloroflexota bacterium. RNAcentral describes it as "bacterial SSU rRNA". It matches the Rfam family "Bacterial small subunit ribosomal RNA", at positions 355 to 874 of the family's 1533-position model. The record is from RNAcentral. Lineage: Bacteria; Bacillati; Chloroflexota.
UGAGGAAUAUUCGGCAAUGGGGGCAACCCUGACCGAGCAACGCCGCGUGGAGGAUGACGGUUUUCGGAUUGUAAACUCCUUUUCUGCGGGAAGAGGCAGGACGGUACCGCAGGAAUAAGUCACGGCUAACUACGUGCCAGCAGCCGCGGUAAUACGUAGGUGGCAAGCGUUAUCCGGAAUUACUGGGCGUAAAGCGCACGCAGGUGGCAUGUUAAGUCUGACGUGAAAGCUCCUGGCUUAACUGGGAGAGGUCGUUGGAGACUGGCAGGCUUGAGGUAAGGAGAGGGGUGCAGAAUUCCCGGUGUAGUGGUGGAAUGCGUAGAUAUCGGGAGGAAUGCCAGUGGCGAAAGCGGCACCCUGGCCUUGGCCUGACGCUCAGGUGCGAAAGCGUGGGGAGCGAACGGGAUUAGAUACCCCGGUAGUCCACGCUGUAAACGAUGAACACUAGGUGUAGGAGGUGUUAAAACCAUCUGCGCCGAAGCCAACGCGAUAAGUGUUCCGCCU